CUGAGGUUACAAAUCUCAUGCAGUGCUUGCACCUUCUCUGGACAGCUGAAACAGCUCUCAGUGCUAUGGCUACGUGUCCAUCCGUAGCAAAAAAAAAGCGCCUUUGGGACAGCAUUGGUUGUAUGCGAGGAGCUCCAGGGCACCCAAUGUCAAAAUAUUCCUGUCCUGCACAGACUGUGUGGUGCCUUACUCACUGAUGGUGCUUUGAAGAGCAGGAGCUGUACUUUGGUGACACAAGAGAGUGCAAAGUGGCUGAAGGUGUCCGUCCGAUGGGAGAUCCAAGCUCCAGGAGAGGAAAAUCAGGCCAGAAAGAGAGAAGAAAAAAGGCCUACAGAAAACCCCGACCUUUGCUACAACCAGCUGUGAUUGGAGGCUUUCCAAGCCUGAGUGAGCUGGGUGAGGUGGAAGGGAGGCGUGUUCCCUCUAAGAGCCCUUUCCCUGGAGAGCCCAGGCAAUGGAUGCCACAGCCAAGGCGCCGUUUGAAGCAGCCUGGGCAGCUGGUGAGGUUAUCAGGGGUAGCAAGUCAGCCAAACACACAGCAGGGGAUGUAGAGCGGCCACUUUCCUUCAUUUAGUGGCAAAGCAGAUAGCAUGGUGUCCCCCAAAAAGCUCACCCCAACGUCAAACACCAGCUUUUGCAUUUUCCAGCGGCUCAUGAGUAAAAUAAGCCUGGGGGUGAAAGGGAGAGAAUAUGCCUUGGUGCUGCUGACACCGAUGCCCUGUAACCUGGGUAGGGCAGUAAUAGCUCAUCCUAGAGCGAUAAGAGCUACAAAAUAACUGAUUUUAGUAGUUAUUGCUCUUUCAAAUGGAUAAGCAGUUUUCAACCAAAACAUAGACUUUUAAAAGCUUUUCUUCUUUACGCAGGUUAAAACUGGGAUCUGUGUCCCAGAAGUUGCAUCCACCUUGCUGUAGUAUUUCGAAAAUACCUGGAUCCUGAGGCUGUGAAAGCAGAGCUUGGAAAGCAAUGCUCGGGGAAGGCUGCUAAUGACCUGGAAGAUGACUGAUACUUAUCCUCACUGAAUUGGCAGUAAAUGUGAAAGAGAUAACUGCAUCUUGAUUUUAACAAAUUCUUUAGAUUUCCAUCUCCACGAGCGCAGGGUUAGAUUCCUACUGUGCACACAUCUUUUUUAGCUCUCAGACAUCCAUGCACAGCUCCACUCAGGUGAGAAGGGGCAAGAGAGAUGUGGAGUGGUCCCAGCAGCAGAUGCUGCUGCACAGCAGACUUUAUCUCUUCUGCUCACGCCAUUCAGCAUACUUCUCUCUCUGUUAUGACUGGGAAGUGGCUCAGAUGUAUCUGGGAGCAAAGCAGGCUGCAAGCAGUAUAAGCUACACUGGAAAAAGGCACCUUUAUUUUGGGUUAAAAAAAAAGAGAAAAGAGGAAAGAAAAAUCUGCAGAGGGAUUUAACUCUAGAGGGUUCAUACAGCUAAAAAAUGUCCCUGUUUGAGUCAAAGCUUGAAAACCUGGUAAAGCUGGACACAGUGAAGGGAAUGAUGUGCGAAAUGCAGAGGGGAUGUGUAGGGAAGGAGACAGAUUUGCAGAGGUGGCUAUGCAGCAGGGGGGCAAGGAAACCCAGUAAAGGGCUAAAAGCAUGCAUGGCAAAGCCAGGGCAGUGCUGGCUGGGGAACAAUGCAUGACGUACGUCUUUUGGGGCACAGGAAAGAAAGCCAGGAGGAACUACAGCAUGCAGCACGUUUUUCUGAGCUCAGCUUUUGGUGAGCAUCAAUGGGCUCAGAAACAGUCCCAUGGCCCAAGGCAGUGCACAAGGAAUUACUGAAGAGGGACAGGUGGAGGGUGCGUGGGUCAUGGGCACGGGAAGGAGCAGAAAGAUGCAGCAAUAGGGACCCGUGGCUGCAGACACCUGCUGUGCAGCACCUGCAGAAGCUGAGCUGGAAAUACCCAUCCCAUCCAUGGAGAGAAGAUGGAGCUGAAGUAAUUCUGGUAGGUACUGUCAUGAAAAUACUGUUCAGGUCACCAUAACUAAUGUCCUUCUUUUAGGGGAGGGCUGUCACUGGGAGACGAAGGGUGCCCGAAGCCAAGACCGAGGCACGGUUGUGUAUGUGCAUGCAUGAAGCUUGCACGGAAUCAGCCAAAGGCUCACGUUGAGUCCCGUUCCUUCAGACUCAUUUUGAGGGACAUUUUUUCUCUGUUUAGACCAAAGACCAGGCUAUCCCUUAAAAACUACCCUAUCCCACGCAGCUCCGCAGACGGCUGUCUCCUGCAAUCAGAUCAGGACUGGCAA
Falco tinnunculus (common kestrel) is the source of this 2239-nucleotide long non-coding RNA. NCBI's taxonomy places the organism in Eukaryota, Metazoa, Chordata, Aves, Falconiformes, Falconidae. The record is from Ensembl.